This 437-nucleotide ribosomal RNA is filed under the name uncultured bacterium. Its description in RNAcentral is "bacterial SSU rRNA". It matches the Rfam family "Bacterial small subunit ribosomal RNA", at positions 954 to 1392 of the family's 1533-position model. The record is from RNAcentral.
AUGGGAACGCGAAGAACCUUACCUAGACUUGACAUCUCCUGAAUAGUGUAGAGAUACAUGAAGCCCUUCGGGGCAGGAAGACAGGUGGUGCAUGGUUGUCGUCAGCUCGUGUCGUGAGAUGUUGGGUUAAGUCCCGCAACGAGCGCAACCCUUAUUACUAGUUGCUACCAUUAAGUUGAGCACUCUAGUGAGACUGCCCGGGGUUAACCGGGAGGAAGGCGGGGAUGACGUCAAAUCAUCAUGCCCCUUAUGUCUAGGGCAACACACGUGCUACAAUGGUGAGUACAGAUAGAUGCGAUACCGCAAGGUGGAGCUAAACUCUAAAACUCAUCCCAGUUCGGAUUGUAGGCUGCAACUCGCCUACAUGAAGUUGGAGUUGCUAGUAAUCGCGAAUCAGAAUGUCGCGGUGAAUACGUUCCCGGGUCUUGUACACACCG